CAGAAAACCAGCUUCAUUCCACCACUUGCUGCUUCCCAGGCCCAACUUCACUCCUGACUUUUCUACCUGUCCCAUGACUGGCAGGAUGGGUGGGGAAUGGGACUUUAUGGUGAGUCCAUACCAGCCUCUGCUAUUCAUUCAGUAUUUUGAACUUCACGGAUGUCAGCAGUGCUCCUGUGAGUGAAAUGACCACAGGCAAGAGGACUAGGAAAUUUGGUAGACCUGGAAAAAUUCCUCUCAAAUAUAGAGAU
Cyanistes caeruleus (blue tit) is the source of this 251-nucleotide non-coding RNA. The record is from RefSeq and is a predicted model, not a curated record. Lineage: Eukaryota; Metazoa; Chordata; Aves; Passeriformes; Paridae.